GAUGAACGCUAGCGGCAGGCCUAGCACAUGCAAGUCGAGGGGCAGCACAUAAAGUGGUUUACUACUUUUGGUGGCGACCGGCGGACGGGUGCGUAACGCGUAUGCAACCUGCCUCCAACAGGGGGAUAACGGAGAGAAAUUUCCACUAAUACCCCAUAAUAUCAGAAUCGGCAUCGGUUUUGGUUGAAAACUCAGGUGGUUGGAGAUGGGCAUGCGUUGUAUUAGAUAGUUGGUGAGGUAACGGCUCACCAAGUCAACGAUACAUAGGGGGACUGAGAGGUUAGCCCCCCACACUGGUACUGAGACACGGACCAGACUCCUACGGGAGGCAGCAGUGAGGAAUAUUGGUCAAUGGGGGCAACCCUGAACCAGCCAUGCCGCGUGCAGGAAGACGGCUCUAUGAGUUGUAAACUGCUUUUACAAGGGGAUAAAUCGGUGUACGUGUACACCGUUGAAGGUACCUUGGGAAUAAGGAUCGGCUAACUCCGUGCCAGCCGCCGCGGUAA
This 506-nucleotide ribosomal RNA is filed under the name uncultured bacterium. Its description in RNAcentral is "partial 16S ribosomal RNA". It matches the Rfam family "Bacterial small subunit ribosomal RNA", at positions 28 to 523 of the family's 1533-position model. The record is from RNAcentral.